Molecule: non-coding RNA, 2820 nt
Organism: Cyanistes caeruleus (blue tit)
Lineage: Eukaryota; Metazoa; Chordata; Aves; Passeriformes; Paridae
Source: RefSeq, a predicted model, not a curated record
CCUGAUCCUCUCAUUUCUGGCAUUUGUGCUUGGAAACAGACAAGACAGCUUACUAGCAGAGGAGCUCAAGUUGGAAAACAAAGAUGAUGGAAAUGCUUAAAACAAGUUAAGGUAGUAUGACACAGACUAACUCCUACUAAGCCAAUCCUCACUAGAAUGAGCACAAAACAAAUGAAUAACAGCUUUUGUACAUCAACAUUAAAAUGGGAAGAAGCUUGGGAAAGGGCCUCCAACAGAGAAGAAUGCUGACAAGUGCAAAAAUGCCUGAUGGAUAAGCACCACCUUCUAAACAUAGAUCAGCCAGACAUGGAAGUGAUUUCAGAAGAGAAAUGCAAUCAUGGAUUACACACCAGCUCAUUAGAAACUGUUGCUGAAUACAGCAUCCAGAAGACAUGCAUGAAAAGUCACAUUUGGGGAAUAAAUUAAAAGGGGUGUAGUUGUUGCUAGAUAAACAUAUGUAAUAUAUAUGCAUUGAAGAGGUUUGUAAAUGUCAUUUUUUUUAUUCAGACGGAAAGCAAAAAGCUUUAAAACCUUUCACAGUAGAGACAGUUAACUUCAGACUAUUCCUAUCCCAGUAGCCAAGAAGCUGUUAGGACAUCUCUCUUAAAUUAGCAUUUAUAGACUCUGAAUGUUUCCAUCACCUAGUGGAAAAAGCAUAACUUUUACUGCUACAUUGCUGCACUUCAUUUACUUCACUGUAUAAUAAGUUGACUAAAACUGUAAAGCUUCUCAAUUUUUAAUGCAUAUGUGUUCCAAUUAAUAUGUCUGUAACAAACUUAAGGCUCAAAAAUUAUUUCUGACCUAUAUUCUAGUUCUAUGAAGCAUAUAUAUAAGGUAUGUCUGACUGAAUAUCACAAUGCUAUAAAAUUUCCCAAGAUGCAUAGAAUUGUUUGCAUUUGAAGUGACAAAAUAAAAGCUCUUGAUUUCUUUUUUAAUAGGAGAAAGUAAUUUACCCCUUAAAUGUAACACACUGCUGCUUGCUUUCAGGGUGUUUCUUUUCCUUGUUCUGCCAUACAACUGUGGAGUGACACUCUCUGGCCCAUGCUAAUGCCAAUCAGACAAGGUGAUCUAAUGAGACCUUCUGGCCUUAAGUUUAAACUCAAUGCAACUCAGUAAACCCUUGAGUUUAAACUCAAUACAAAAAUUAAGAAACUAUUAAGCAAAUACAUGUUUCAGACAGCCAUGUGAGGGCUGGAUGCAAACAGCCCUGGGGCACUGGCAGGGAAGUGAUUCCCUCCCCAGGUCCCAAAGGGCACUCUCAGUUCCAGAAGCCACUGAGAAGUAAAACAGGAGUAGGCACAGAAAGACCUCGUAGUGAAAGGCCUGGAUACCAAGCACCAGGAACAGAGCAACAGAGGGAGGCAAGGAGCCCCUCUCUGCUCCUCUCUAACACUCCCACCAAGGCACACAUCUGUCCUGGCUUAGGACUGGCCAUGAGCACCCUACAUGCCUCUAGGUUCUCCUGUAUAUCACAGAUGAACCCAGCACAAAAUGAACACUGCAGUGCUGAUUCCUUCAGGGUUUUUAAAGCCUGUUGCUUCAUUCUUUGGCUUUCAGGGGAAAUGGCUAAAGUAAUAAUUGCUAGUGUUGAUCCAAAAUAAUGCAAAAUUCUGAAGACAUGAGGUAAAUAUGAGUUAAAAUUGCUUUUUAACUAUUGAUUGCACAACACAAAUUAUUCCAGAAUUUAGUGCAUGAAUCUCAAAAAAAUUAAUUUUGAAAGAAAAAUUAUCUUUAAGCAAAUUGCCAGUAAACAAAUACAGAGAAUUAGAUAACUUUUCUAUCUAUCUACCAAGGUACCAAUGUGGCGCUGACUUCACCUAGAUGCCAGCCAAGUAAAUUUAUGUGUGAAUCUGGGCAGCAUUUAAAAAAUUAAACAACAGUUUUUAAAAUCUGAAACUACUCUUGUAACUGGAUGUGGAAAAUUCUCCUGUCUUCUAAAGGACCAGCACUAGCUGGUCAAAAACCCCACCCAAAUCAGUCAACCACCAUAAACAUCUUCCCAGUACCUGAAGGUACAUCUACCCAUUGACCUGAGGGGGAUGGAAGGUAAAAAUCAAGCAGCUCACACAUGAGGAAGCAUAAACUCAUUUAAGGGCCCAUUUCAGGCAGGUUUUUAAAUCUUUGAUUAGUCCAACCAGUGUCAGCUGGAAAAUGCACAUCCUCAGGGGCUGGAUACAUUCAGGAGUCCCUGUUAAGUGGUGUCUCAGCGAAGCCCAUCCUCAUUCUCUGCUCUUGUUGGCUCACAAGCACACUCGCACCUCAAAGCCUGCGAAAGGCUUUGUUAUCUGGAUGUGCUCUCAUAUCACCAUCUUCAUUUGCUCCUUGAGUUUACCUCUAUCCCACAUUAUUGCAGUCAUGGCAUUUUGCUGUGACAGAAAUCACCAAAACAGGGUUUCUCUGUAUUAUAUUAUUUUGUUUAGCAUCAUGGUGAUGGUGUAAUGUAAAAACCCUUUCUAAAUAUACACAAACAUUGCAAAAUAAGUGCCAUCACAAGACAUCGCAACCCUGUCAGGGCAGCUCAGUGAAUAUGUAUCAUUUGUACACAGUCAGAAGGAGAGAUGUACCAGGAUGUACACCAUUAAAUGUUGACUCAGUAAGAAUAGUAUGUUUUAUCUUUUUAAAUGUUACCACUUUCUCAUUCCACUCCAUUGUAACUUGUCAAUUGUAAUUUCUUUUUAAGUCAACAAACUGUAAAGAAAACUGUUGAAAUACCUGAUUUUCUGUAAAAGUAAUAAUAACAAUAAUUUUUGUUACUUCAAAGUAUGCUUGGUAUUAAAGUACCUAAUAAAGUUCAACAAUGACUUUUGUAGCAUACUAAAA